This 301-nucleotide ribosomal RNA is filed under the name uncultured bacterium. RNAcentral's name for it is "partial 16S ribosomal RNA". It matches the Rfam family "Bacterial small subunit ribosomal RNA", at positions 509 to 807 of the family's 1533-position model. The record is from RNAcentral.
CAGUAGCCACGGGAAUACGAAGGGUGCAAGCGUUAAUCGGAAUUACUGGGCGUAAAGCAUGCGUAGGCGGUGAGUUAAGUCUGCUGUGAAAUCCCCGGGCUCAACCUGGGAAUGGCAAUGGAUACUGGCAAGCUAGAGUGUGUCAGAGGAUGGUGGAAUUCCCGGUGUAGCGGUGAGAUGCGUAGAGAUCGGGAGGAACAUCAGUGGCGAAGGCGGCCAUCUGGGACAACACUGACGCUGAGGCACGAAAGCGUGGGGAGCAAACAGGAUUAGAUACCCCCGUAGUCCCUGUCUCUUAUAC